Molecule: unclassified non-coding RNA, 524 nt
Filed under: Ascomycota sp. KO-2013
Lineage: Eukaryota; Fungi; Ascomycota
Description: Phialocephala sp. KO-2013 partial contains ITS1, 5.8S rRNA and ITS2
Rfam family: 5.8S ribosomal RNA (bases 186-339)
Source: RNAcentral
AAGGAUCAUUACAAGUGAGGCUACCGAACGCUGGAAACAGUGGUUAGGAGCUUACACCCACCCGUGUUUACAUACUAUUGUUGCUUUGGCGGGCCGUGGCCUCCACUACGGGCUCUGCUCGUGUGUGCCCGCCAGAGGACCAAACUCUGAAUGUUAGUGAUGUCUGAGUACUAUCUAAUAGUUAAAACUUUCAACAACGGAUCUCUUGGUUCUGGCAUCGAUGAAGAACGCAGCGAAAUGCGAUAAGUAAUGUGAAUUGCAGAAUUCAGUGAAUCAUCGAAUCUUUGAACGCACAUUGCGCCCUGUGGUAUUCCGCAGGGCAUGCCUGUUCGAGCGUCAUUUAACCACUCACGCCUAGCGUGGUAUUGGGGCACGCGGUCUCGCGGCCCUCAAAAUCAGUGGCGGCGCCGGUGGGCUCUAAGCGUAGUACAUACUCCCGCUAUAGAGUUCCCCCGGUGGCUCGCCAGAACCCCCAAUUUUUACAGGUUGACCUCGGAUCAGGUAGGGAUACCCGCUGAACUUAA